This is a long non-coding RNA of Strongylocentrotus purpuratus (purple sea urchin), 219 nucleotides long. RefSeq lists it as uncharacterized. The record is from RefSeq and is a predicted model, not a curated record. NCBI's taxonomy places the organism in Eukaryota, Metazoa, Echinodermata, Echinoidea, Camarodonta, Strongylocentrotidae. The transcript is spliced from 2 exons.
CAGUGUAGAUUGGAGAGAGAGGAGAGAAGCACUAAUUUGUGCCUGCUAAUGGAGAUUGUUAUUUACUUCUGGCAGAUCACAAUUCAUGGCUGCAUGUGGUGAAAUCUCCUUAUUUUGAUGAACUACACUUUCUACAAUAAGGUGGAAGCUUUGUUUAUGAUCAGGGGUCGGACGACAGCAUAUAGCGUUAGUGUUGCUUCGUCGUUAUAGUAUUGGCCG